This 237-nucleotide unclassified non-coding RNA is filed under the name uncultured Clavulinaceae. RNAcentral describes it as "sequence contains ITS2". The record is from RNAcentral. Lineage: Eukaryota; Fungi; Basidiomycota; Agaricomycetes; Cantharellales; Hydnaceae.
AAUUAUCAAGCUGUGGAUGGCUUUUCGUUAUCUUGGCUUGGUGUUUGGGCUCUGCCGUGUCCUCUACUGGAACGGCUGGCCUUAAAAGCAUUAGCUGACUCUCAAUGUGGGGACUGGUUCUACUCAGCGUGAUAAUAUUUUGACCGCUGAGGACAUCUUUCGAGAUGGCCAGUCCUCAUUUGGGGCUGCUUUCUAAUCUGGAAUCACGGAUCCUCGUGUCUGUGUUGCCGCUUUCAA